UACGGGGGGAGCAAGCGUUGUUCGGAUUUACUGGGCGUAAAGGGCGCGUAGGCGGCCACCGCAAGUCGACUGUGAAAUCUCCGGGCUUAACCCGGAGCGGUCAAGUGAUACUGUCGUGCUAGAGUGCAGAAGGGGCAACUGGAAUUCUCGGUGUAGCGGUGAAAUGCGUAGAUAUCGAGAGGAACACCUGCGGCGAAGGCGGGUUGCUGGGCUGACACUGACGCUGAGGCGCGAAAGCUAGGGGAGCGAACGGG
Molecule: ribosomal RNA, 254 nt
Filed under: uncultured bacterium
Lineage: Bacteria
Description: partial 16S ribosomal RNA
Rfam family: Bacterial small subunit ribosomal RNA
Source: RNAcentral